UACUUUGGUGUUUUGCAGCUCUGUUUCGUUCCCUGACGGUAACCAAAUCUAGAUGUAGGAAUCUGUUGAGCAGGAGAGUGACACAUGUCUUCCCGAAGGCUGUCCAGGCUGCAGUGGUGAUGAAGAAGACACGAUCAUCACCCCGAGAUCGAUCGUAGCGAAUUGGAAAACUCAUGGUGAAUUUGCUUCCACUCCAAGGCAAUGUCGAGGUAUGAAGGGUGCUUGUACUGCCUUCCAAAGUGAAGAGGAGAUGAACAUGGCUUUGCAUAGCUGUUCUAUGCCAACUUACCCACUCUUGCUGGCACCGUAGUGGCAUAUUGCACAUUUCGUGGACGAACAACUCUAGUCACUAGUGGCUAGUGAGCAACACUAACAGACCAGAAUGCUUUGCUAUCAACUCCUGGCUUUCCAUCGGCAUGGUGUUCAGCUGCAGCGGCAUCUGGUCCGGGGAGUUCAAGUUAGUUGCUGGAUGGCUGCACUGACACAGGAUGGGUUUGCGUUGGCAAUGCGAUACGGCAGUCAUCCCACAUCACGAGCUACAUGUUUAUGUAAUUUAUAUUGUCGCUCGUCCAGCAACGUCAAGGCUCUGCAUGUAAACACAGGAGAACACCAUAAUACUACUCAGGGGAUAAUAAUUUUGGAUAUCAAUUUCGUGACAAUUAUUAGAUUCACACAAUAUUCACAACGUAUGCAACACGAUGCUGUCUAUUGACACUACUUCAAACUGAAGUGCUCACUACUCCUCUCCCGUUUUCAUCUCCCUCUACCUUAUGAAUACUCUGCAUUACUGGUUUCGUUUCUACCCUUUCCAUUGCUGCCAGCUCCCAGUCUUUUUCAAUGCACAGCACCACCUUGACAGUCAUUUUUGUGAUUUGAUGUACACAUACUUUGAAGUUCAAAUUCGAAUUACAUGAUCAGAUUUUUGUUCCACAUUUUCUAUUUAUUUUUACUUCAAGCACAACCCUACCGAUGAAGGGAAAGAAGCAGCAGAGAGA
Long non-coding RNA from Sycon ciliatum, 995 nucleotides. RefSeq lists it as uncharacterized. Lineage: Eukaryota; Metazoa; Porifera; Calcarea; Leucosolenida; Sycettidae. The transcript is spliced from 2 exons. The record is from RefSeq and is a predicted model, not a curated record.